This is a long non-coding RNA of Hemicordylus capensis (graceful crag lizard), 499 nucleotides long. RefSeq lists it as uncharacterized. Lineage: Eukaryota; Metazoa; Chordata; Lepidosauria; Squamata; Cordylidae. The record is from RefSeq and is a predicted model, not a curated record. The transcript has 3 exons.
GCUAGACCAGUAAAAUAUGGACCCAGUAUCAUGGCCUAUUGUGGCCAGGGCCACUGGGCUGUUUCUGUCAUCCUUCUGAAAAUAGCCCAGAAGGCCUUUACAUCAUCGUCCCCCACCAAUUUAGUGAGAUGGAAUAUGGUAGCAGCUGGGCCCCCUGUCCUGUCCUCCCCUCUGGCCUCAGUCGGACCAGGAUAUAGCCGGAAAGAAGGAGGAGGAAGAAAGGAGGAAGGAAACAAUUUGACAAGGAAACCUCAACGUGCCCAGGAAUAAAUUUACUUCACUGAAGCCUCAUAUGGUUCAAGUCAAAGGAUGCUACCCCAAGAAGGAACGAAAUGUAUAAGCUCUUUACUAUAACAAUAACCCUAGCAUUUUGGAGCUGCUACAAUACAAAAAUUGAAACAGACAGCUGACUAUAUCCAUAUAACUCCAGAAACAGCCAGUCAAAGACACCAGAGAGGAAAAAGAGAGAGAGGCCAGAGAGGAAAAAGCACAUGCCAAC